UACGAAGGGGGCUAGCGUUGCUCGGAAUCACUGGGCGUAAAGGGCGCGUAGGCGGCCAUUCAAGUCGGGGGUGAAAGCCUGUGGCUCAACCACAGAAUUGCCUUCGAUACUGUUUGGCUCGAGUAUGGUAGAGGUUGGUGGAACUGCGAGUGUAGAGGUGAAAUUCGUAGAUAUUCGCAAGAACACCGGUGGCGAAGGCGGCCAACUGGACCAUUACUGACGCUGAGGCGCGAAAGCGUGGGGAGCAAACAGG
Molecule: ribosomal RNA, 253 nt
Filed under: uncultured bacterium
Lineage: Bacteria
Description: partial 16S ribosomal RNA
Rfam family: Bacterial small subunit ribosomal RNA
Source: RNAcentral